UGCCAGACUCCUACGGGAGGCAGCAGUGGGGAAUAUUGGGCAAUGGGCGCAAGCCUGACCCAGCAACGCCGCGUGAAGGAAGAAGGCUUUCGGGUUGUAAACUUCUUUUCUCAGGGACGAAGAAAGUGACGGUACCUGAGGAAUAAGCCACGGCUAACUACGUGCCAGCAGCCGCGGUAAUACGUAGGUGGCAAGUGUUAUCCGGAUUUAUUGGGUGUAAAGGGCGUGUAGGCGGGAGCGCAAGUCAGAUGUGAAAACUCAGGGCUCAACCCUGAGCCUGCAUUUGAAACUGUUGGUCUUGAGUAUCGGAGAGGCAGGCGGAAUUCCUAGUGUAGCGGUGAAAUGCGUAGAUAUUAGGAGGAACACCAGUGGCGAAGGCGGCCUGCUGGACGACAACUGACGGUGAGGCGCGAAAGCGUGGGGAGCAAACAGGAUUAGAUACCCCAGUAUC
Molecule: ribosomal RNA, 451 nt
Filed under: uncultured bacterium
Lineage: Bacteria
Description: bacterial SSU rRNA
Rfam family: Bacterial small subunit ribosomal RNA
Source: RNAcentral